UGAGCAAUCUGCCCUUCUCAUCGGAAUAAGCGUUGGAAACGACGUCUAAUGCCGAAUACGACCUCCUUUCGCAUGAUCGGAGGUGGAAAGCUCCGGCGGAGAAGGAUGAGCUCGCGGCCUAUCAGCUAGUUGGUGUGGGUAACGGCCCACCAAGGCGACGACGGGUAGCCGGCCUGAGAGGGUGACCGGCCACACUGGGACUGAGACACGGCCCAGACUCCUACGGGAGGNAG
RNAcentral lists this ribosomal RNA (233 nucleotides) under uncultured bacterium. Its description in RNAcentral is "partial 16S ribosomal RNA". It matches the Rfam family "Bacterial small subunit ribosomal RNA", at positions 118 to 351 of the family's 1533-position model. The record is from RNAcentral.